Molecule: RNA transcript, 2033 nt
Organism: Rhinichthys klamathensis goyatoka
Lineage: Eukaryota; Metazoa; Chordata; Actinopteri; Cypriniformes; Leuciscidae
Gene name: probable serine/threonine-protein kinase kinX
Exons: 5
Source: RefSeq, a predicted model, not a curated record
AGACGCACUGAUUUGAUCCCACAGCACUGAGAAAAACACAAGUGAAGAGUCAAUACAGACCAGCAGAAUCAACACAGAAAGCAACUCUUUGGAGAUUUUUGGCAAGAUGAGAAAAUUACUUUUGCUGGUUCUCACCUUAACAGCUUCAGCCAGUCCACCAGUUCAGGAUAAAACGCUGCCGUUUAAAGAUUUGCCUUUUGAUCAUGUGGUCAAGGAGGAUGUUUUGCCAGUGGUUAAAAAAGAACCAAUAGUACAGCACACAGAAGCAGAACAAGGUCCUUUGAAGCAGGAUGAACCUGUUGCAGAUGUGCUGAAGCCAGAGACAAUAGAGGAACACAUAGAAGAGACGUCAGUGAGAGUGGAGGAACCUGUGAUAGAGGAAGAUGAUCUGACUGAAGCAGAACAAGGUCCUCUAAUGCAGGAUGAACCUGUUGCAGAUGUCGUGCUGGACCCAGAGACCAUGGGGGAACACAGAGAAGAGACGUCAGUGAGAGUGGAGGAACCUGUGAUAGAGGAAGAUGAUCUGACUGAAGCAGAACAAGGUCCUCUAAUGCAGGAUGAACCUGUUGCAGAUGUCGUGCUGGACCCAGAGACCAUGGGGGAACACAGAGAAGAGACGUCAGUGAGAGUGGAGGAACCUGUGAUAGAGGAAGAUGAUCUGACUGAAGCAGAACAAGGUCCUCUAAUGCAGGAUGAACCUGUCGCAGAUGUGCUGGACCCAGAGACAAUGGAGGAAUACAGAGAAGAGAUGUCAGUGAGAAUGGAGGAACCUGUAAUAGAGGAAGAUGAUCUGACUGAAGCAGAACAAGGUCCUCUGAUGCAGGAUGAACCUAUCGCAGAUGUGCUGGACCCAGAGACAAUAGAAGAACAAGAGAUGUCAGUGAGAAUGGAGGAACCUCUGACAGAGGAAGAUGAUCUGACUGAAGCAGAACAAGGUCCUCUGAUGCAGGAUGAACCUAUUGCAGAUGUCGUGCUGGACCCAGAGACAAUGGAGGAAUACAGAGAAGAGAUGUCAGUGAGAAUGGAGGAACCUGUAAUAGAGGAAGAUGAUCUGACUGAAGCAGAACAAGGUCCUCUGAUGCAGGAUGAACCUAUUGCAGAUGUCGUGCUGGACCCAGAGACAAUGGAGGAAUACAGGGAAGAGAUGUCAGUGAGAAUGGAGGAACCUGUGAUAGAGGAAGAUGAUCUUACUGAAGCAGAACAAGGUCCUCUGAUGCAGGAUGAACCUGUUGCAGAGGUGCUGGAGCCAGAGACAAUAGAGGAACACAGAGAAACAGAAGAUAAUUCAGUGAUAGUGGAGGAACCUGUGCUAGUGGCAGAUUAUAUAAAUGAAGAGACACCAGAGACAGAACUAGAGUCUAUGCCGGAAAUAGUUGCCAUUCAGAUGAACAGAAACAACGUACCUGUGGAGGAACCUGUGGAGGAACCUGUAGAGGAACCUGUAGAGGAACCAGAGGAACCUGUAGAAGAGUUAGAGUCUGUAGCUGAGAUGGAUAUGAAGGUGGAAUCUGAAAAAGAGGAAAAUUUAUUAGAGGAGCCUACACUCGAGGGUGACUAUAUCGUGGAUGAUGAUCCGGAAGAAGUAAUGGAACCAUGAAGGGAACGAAGACUGACAUUACAGACUGGGAGGUGGACUUGUGGAGGAGAAUUGUGUAGAGAUACUGAGUGAUCUGGUGUUCAAUGAUGUACCAUGCAAAAUCCUCAAACCGUUCGUCUGUUCCUGUCCACUUUAGACAGCCUGGAGGUUAACCUAACCUGCUUUACAAUGACUUUUAUGAAGAAAAUGUAAAUAAUAAUAAUAAUAUUUAUUAUUAUUAUUGCAAUUUUUAAAAAGUAAUUUAAAAGGGCUAUGCCGUAAUCAAAUUGUUUUGUUAAAUUUGCCAUGGUUUACAAAAAAUAAUAAUAAUAAACAACAUACAUUUUUAUACGCCACAACUGAUUCAUUUGUUAAUAUUGUAUUGUCUUGUAUAUAAGUAAUUUCGUUGUUUACUUGCUAUUGUAAAAAGGUAUUAAAUAAAAUGGACUUUUAUUAU